RNAcentral lists this ribosomal RNA (442 nucleotides) under uncultured bacterium. Its description in RNAcentral is "partial 16S ribosomal RNA". It matches the Rfam family "Bacterial small subunit ribosomal RNA", at positions 338 to 795 of the family's 1533-position model. The record is from RNAcentral.
CCUACGGGGUGCAGCAGUGGGGAAUAUUGGGCAAUGGGCGCAAGCCUGACCCAGCAACGCCGCGUGAAGGAAGAAGGCUUUCGGGUUGUAAACUUCUUUUGUCAGGGAAGAGUAGAAGACGGUACCUGACGAAUAAGCCACGGCUAACUACGUGCCAGCAGCCGCGGUAAUACGUAGGUGGCAAGCGUUGUCCGGAUUUACUGGGUGUAAAGGGCGUGUAGCCGGGUUGACAAGUCAGAUGUGAAAUCCUGCGGCUUAACCGCAGAACUGCAUUUGAAACUGUUGAUCUUGAGUACUGGAGAGGCAGACGGAAUUCCUAGUGGAGCGGUGAAAUGCGUAGAUAUUAGGAGGAACACCAGUGGCGAAGGCGGUCUGCUGGACAGCAACUGACGGUGAGGCGCGAAAGCGUGGGGAGCAAACAGGAUUAGAUACCCCAGUAGUC